This 250-nucleotide ribosomal RNA is filed under the name uncultured Enterobacteriaceae bacterium. RNAcentral describes it as "partial 16S ribosomal RNA". It matches the Rfam family "Bacterial small subunit ribosomal RNA", at positions 86 to 339 of the family's 1533-position model. The record is from RNAcentral. Lineage: Bacteria; Pseudomonadati; Pseudomonadota; Gammaproteobacteria; Enterobacterales; Enterobacteriaceae.
GGGUGACGAGCGGCGGACGGGUGAGUAAUGUCUGGGAAACUGCCUGAUGGAGGGGGAUAACUACUGGAAACGGUAGCUAAUACCGCAUAAUGUCGCAAGACCAAAGUGGGGGACCUUCGGGCCUCAUGCCAUCAGAUGUGCCCAGAUGGGAUUAGCUAGUAGGUGAGGUAACGGCUCACCUAGGCGACGAUACAUAGCCGACCUGAGAGGAUGACCAGCCACACUGGAACUGAGACACGGUCCAGACUCC